UUGAUAUUGUCAUGAAUUGCAAACAAUGUAUUAUCGGAAAGCGAUAAAUAACAAUCAAAAUCAAAUGUCUCAUGCAAGGACAUAUAUAAUAGGUCUUAUUAGAAUAAAAAGCAGUACAAUUGAUUAAAAAUCUUGUUCUUAACAGCGAGGCAAGGCGUGCAAAUGACCAGCAAGGGAACGUCAAUCAAUCAUGUUCUGCCACAUAAAAAAUUAGAGUCAAUGUACUGGUUUGAAGUAGGAAUUUGUGAGACUACAAUAAAAUGAAAAACAUUUUAUUUUUCUCUUACCUCGCUAGAUGGACUGCUAUAAGAAGAGGAUCCAGUAUUUGUGGUAAAACUUGAUGAUGAAGACUCGAAAUAAUCAUAAGCAUCUGUUGCGGUGAAAAUUUUGCUCUUGAUCAAUAUGUUGCCAUCAUUUAUCUCUAUUUUGAGAGUAACCUCUUUAUCGAUAAUUUGUCUCAAGCACUCUGGAUAGAGAAUAGAAUACUGACACUGCACGUAGUAAAUGAUACAUUCCAAAAUUAAGAACCGAGAAAUUUAGAAUUUAGAAUACUAAUGUUGCAGUAUUUAAUUAUAUGAAGUUAAGUUCAACGGAGACCACAUUUUUUUCGGAGACCUGGAGACCACAUAUGUUCUGCAAGUAAAAUAUUUCAUAAAAAUAUUGCAAAACGUAUAGUUUUGCAAAUCAUGUUCUACGAAAUCAUUAUUUCAUUUAAAAUCUUGAAUAUCAUAUAAGUUUUACAUGUGGAACAUUACAAAAUGUUUUGUUCUAUGAAAUAUAUUCAGUUUGCAGAACAUUUGUUAAACUUGCAGAACAUACAUUAUCUAUUUAUUAAACAUAGAUGAUUUUCAACAAUUUUAAUGAAUACAUGAUAUUCGUAGAACAUAUUUUACAAAAUAAGUUAUUUUAUAGUGUUUUGAUUGCAAAACAUGCGUGGUCUCCGAGGUCUCCGAUGAAUUAGCGGUCUCCAUAGAACUUUCCUCUUAAUUAUAUAUAUAUAUAUAUAAGAAAGUUAUUUGGAGUACCAUAAUUAUUGGAGUCCUUGGAGUCCUAAUCCUAGCCCUUGAUUUAGAAUUAGAUCCAAUGGCUGAUAAUUUUUUGGAUUAAUAUAUAAACAGUUUUUUUCAUUUGUUUCAGACAGGCGCGUGUUUUGCUUGCCGUUACAACUGAUCGAGAGUUGUGUACUCGUGUGUUCAAUUUUUUUUUUAUCCUUUUCACUUUUUAUACUUUUUACUUAGUAUACUGGUCUUCGUAUACUAAUGUUACUGGCAAUUGGUUUCGCCCGAAGCAUCAUACUCAUGAUUUAGAUUAAAAAUUAUUACUCUUAUUUAACCUACGUUCAUCCCUCACUGUUUAUAAUGAUCAUUAUUAUUAUCUUUUUGCCAGAAUUGAUAAUUAUUUAACACCCUUAAAUUUUAAAUAAUAACAAAUAUCGACUAUUUCUAAUUAUUUCAAAUUUAUUAUGUCAAUUAUAUUUAUAUUUUAUGUACAAUAAACUACACUGUGUACUUAUAAUGCAGUAUCAAUAUUCAACGAAAUAUGCUACCAAAAAAAGAUAAAAUCCCCUAGUCAACAUAUGCAGGACAAAUGCAGGCCAUAUGUUAAUCAGAGUGCAAGUCUCGAAUUCUACUUCCUUAAAAUUGUAAAAAUAUUAGGAACAUCAGAUGAUUAAUUGCAUCUUUCUUCUAGUAUCUACCGCAUCUAUGUUUUGCAAAUCUUGUGUUGGUAAUAGAGCAUAUCAUACAAAUGAAGAUGAACUAUUGUGGUUCGCAAGUCAUUCUUAUAUAUUCUAGGUCUUAUUAUCAUUUCUUAAGAUUAAUUUGUACGUUUGGUUCAUGUUAGACAACUUGAAAUAGUUCACACUUUAGUCGACAAAGAAAAUCCAUAGGCCUUGCAUUCAUAUCCUUUCUCGUCCCAAAUGCUCUUUUGUCCUUCAAAGCAAUGUGAAAUGUAUAUGCUCAAGUAAGGGAAUGUACACAUAGAAACCAAAAAUUGGAUGCUUUAUUUACACUCACAGGAAAUCCUUUGGCACUUACUAAAAAUUUGCCUUCCAAACGUAGUAUAUUCCUUGUGAUUUGAGAAACGACGGAAAUAAUAUUAUAGUUCAUUUUAUGUCAAAUCUUCUGCAAGUCACAAACUUGCAAGUCACGGACUUGGAAGCAGAAUCAUUGUCAAGCCCGCACCAUUUCACCUACCUGUUAUUAUACCUUCCUACCGGUGGAAUACAACUGAACUAAAUACCACAUGAUCACCAAAGACAAAGUUUUAAAAACAAAUAUCCUUCAAGCCAAGUACAUCAUUAAUUCAAACAACUGUUUCAUAUUAGUCCACAAACUAAUGUAGCAACUAAAGAUAAAAUCUUAUUAUAGUAGAACACAUUACGAAUAUAUUUCAAGGAUCAAAAACAUUUAACUCUUAACAACUUGCUUUUGCUGAAAUUGAUCAUUCGAUGCAACACCAGAUGCCUCUUCUUGUUUUUGGACUAUAACAGAAGUGGUGAGCAUAGACCGCUCUUAGCUUUUGCACCACACUUUUCUGAUUGUCAUGCACAACAUUAUAAUAUAAUCAUCCAUGUGGAUAGCCUAAGCCAUAAGGAAAAAAAAGAAAUGUAUGUUACUCCAUAGCAGAGCGCAAUCCACUACUCCACGCUGAUGUGUUUCCCAUAUACGACUCUAAGUGUCUCAUAACAUAUACUCCGCAAUCUACUGCAUUAUCUAAGGUUUGCAAACUCAUUGUAAUAAUAUACAGCUUCAGGUUUACUAUUUCUCUAUACUUAGUUAAUGAGUAGCAUUGUAAAAAAUGGCCAGAAUAGAAAUUUACCAUUUUAAAAUCAAGAAUGUCGUAUGCCCCGCUAUAUUUUAGUAUAAUAAACACGUGCAUAAUAUAUUUUAGUAUCUAUAAGCGCAGGAUUAUUUGUGUUCUGCAUCAAAGAUAAAGUAAGUAAGCUUUGCAGGACAAACAUUAAUAUGUAAAAAAUUCUAAGAAUCUUUGGCUUGCACUUUGAAAAAACUACACAUUCCAGACAUAACAGGUGUCGUCUAUAGAUAUUAAUCUCACAAAUAAGGAAACGCACAUAAUGUGACACAAUAUCUUACAAAAGUAAGGCCCCUCGUAGUACAUGAUAGUGCAAGAUAACUACUUCAAAGCCGAUUACAAUUACUUCCAUAUGUCUAAGGUGCAGUACAAUUAAGCUACUGAUAUACAUUUAAAGCACUUAAGGAGCAUAAAAACAUGAUAUAAAAUCCAUCAACAUUAAUCUUCAAUGCAAUGUGGGAAACUUAAACUGGUAAAUGAUUUCAAGACGAAACCGCAUUAUACUUUAAUCUCGGGAAAAAAAUACGCACUUUUGAAUGCAAAAUUCAUUCUGAACAUCAUGCUUCGUGUUAAAAAUGCAGGACCUACUUCGUGUCCUGUUAAAAAAAACAUCAAAGAAGUUCCACCCACGCAUUCAACUUGGUAAGAAAGACAAGAUUAGUUAACCCAGUGCCAGACAGAAAUACACUACUAUCUCGCACAUCUUGAUCUUUCAUACAUCAGGUUAACAUUGAUUAAAAACCCAAAAUGGAAAAUGUUUUGCUUAAGCCAUGUACAGAACUCGUACAAAAUUGAAUUACAUCUGAAGAGCGACAUUAAUUUUUUCAUGUAACACCCAAACCACAACCCACAUUACUAAAUCUAUAUAUUUACAAACUACUCGCGCAUCUAAUGCAGAACACAACCAUUCAAUGCAAACAGAACAUGUAUACUCAAAGAAAACACCAAAUACUCAAUUUACAACACCACGUCCUGCAUAACACCCAAACCAAAACCCACAUUACUAAAUCUACAUGUUUACAAACUACCCGCGAAUCAAAUGCAGAACACAACCACUCAAUGAAAAUAGAACAUUUAUACUCACAAAAAAAAACCAAAUACCCAAUUUACAACACCACGUCCUCCAUAACACCCAAACCAAAACCCAUAUUAGUAAAUCUACAUAUUUACAAACUACCCGCGAAUCACAUGCAGUACACAGCCACUCAAUGCAAACAGAACAUGUUUACUCAAAGAAAACACUACCCAAUUUACAACACCAUGUCCUGCAUAUUCUCCCCAAUACCACUGCUCAUUCUUAAAUGCUUGUGAUGUCCCAUAACUUAAUAUCAAGUGCACAACAAUUAUAGAGAUGAGUGAUUUUAAAAGACUAGAUUCGGCGAGAUGAUGACCUAUAACACGAAAAAACAAUUGCAGGACAACCCAUCAAACACAACAAUUGAGGGACAAAAAUUCCGGUCACCGAUGACUCACUUAUGCGAUAUGCAAUUCAAAAGCAGAACCUAAUCGAAAAAGUGUGGCCAUACCUGAACUCAUCUUGAAAUAUACUUCCAUCAUCUUGCACAGCCCCUUAUCCCUUAUGGUCAAUUGAUGUUGCGUACCUGAACUCAUAAUGUUGUCACCUAGAAUCGUCCUGCAGCAAAGAACUGAGUUGUUGAAUUAAGUCCGUCGAGUCCCGCACCUUGGUUUGAUCUCAGCGAAUUCAAGCCCUCAUGAUAAUGGGAGCAGUUUUGAGCAGAUCAUGUGGGAUACGGUUUUAAAUUAGCAUUUAAAAUUAAUUAAAACUGAUGAUGCAGCAUUUUAAAUCAUUAAAUCUCAGCCACAGGAUCUUUUAAAAUCUAAUGGUAGAUCUUAGGGACUCCAAUUUCUCACUAAAUCUAGUACCCCAUAGAUCUCCACUAUAUAUAUAUAUAUGUUNAUAUAUAUAUAUAUAUAUAUAUAUAUAUAUAUAUAUAUAUAUAUCGAUCGAGUAUGCAUACCACUUUGUUUUCAGACAGUAAUUCUGAAGCUGUCUUCCGAACCAAACAUUGGACCGCACUGUCCAUGAGAAUAAAAUUAUAUUCAGCUAUUGCAUCCUCUGCUACUACAAUAAUCCUGUACCUACACAGAUAUGAGCAUUCACAAUUAGUUAUGUCAUUCAUUAUUCAUUAUUAUUGUAACAACCAAACUUUUGACAACUAAAAUACAGUUAUUAAAGAGUAUAGGAUACUCCCAAGCAACAACUUUAAUUAAGCUAGGAUAUGUAACAUACUUUAUCUUGCCAUCAAGCUGCAAAGAUUCAUUAUCGUAGUCAGAAUAAGUCCACCAAUUGGCAAUCUCUUCAACAUCUGUGAUCUUGACAACACACAGGAA
RNAcentral lists this long non-coding RNA (5166 nucleotides) under Daucus carota (carrot). RNAcentral's name for it is "long non-coding RNA (DCAR_LNC004841)". The record is from RNAcentral. Lineage: Eukaryota; Viridiplantae; Streptophyta; Magnoliopsida; Apiales; Apiaceae.